UGGGCCGGGUCUUUUAACAUUGUUUGGGCCAUUAUAUUUUGGAGCUGGUCCCACUUGUCAUCUUCUCACACACUGGGCCCACUCGACAGAAAAUUCAAAACUGCUUAGAUUAUUUUCAUAAGUGAAUCCCACAAGUUAGGUUUCCAUUCCACACGUUUUCAAAUCACGUACAUAAUCAAUAUUUCAAACAGAACAAUACAAAUGUAGUUCAUCAAAUAAAACUAACUAAGUCUACUACAAUCUGUACAUAGUUAUUACAACCCAGAUAUGCCUACUAUUACAAUAUUACAAUAUUUACAUUCUAUUACAAUCAAAUAGAAGAGACGACUCUUUGCUGAGUAGAGCUAUAUGGUUUCGAACUUCAUUUUGUAGACCUGGAGCUCCUGAACACAAAGACAAACAUCAUUAGAGAUUAGAGUGUACACAUGCUAGGUCUAGCAUUGGUUAAAAAUAACUAAUAAUCACAUGACGAAUCUGAAUGCAGCAUAUAAAAAGAACCUACCAGGGAGGCCUUGAUAUAAACAGGGGUACGUGUAAAUAUAUGUGUUCACAGGCUUGAAUACAUCGCCAGGAACUAUAAGUACAAAACAUGUAACAUGGUGGCUACAUAAACAGAACGAGAUGUGGCAUGCUUAAAAGUCCGAGCCCAUGCGAUGCCUAUAUAUAAUCAGGUGCAGCUUAAAUAUACGUGGGCACAUAUUGAAAGGAACAAGAUAGCAUGAUGAUAUCCGAUCAACUAGAUUUGGGAGAAACCUGAUCGAGCCAACACAAAAAAGAAAUAGAGCAAGAUUUGAGCUGUACCUGCAGUGUGUUACUUAUGGUGGAACUGGAAGGAGACUUGCUCGGAUUUAGUUAACACGAAUUGUAAGUGUAAAGCAGAUCAUCUUGGCUAUUACACACGA
Molecule: long non-coding RNA, 902 nt
Filed under: Triticum aestivum (bread wheat)
Lineage: Eukaryota; Viridiplantae; Streptophyta; Magnoliopsida; Poales; Poaceae
Description: long non-coding RNA (TAES_LNC016115)
Source: RNAcentral